RNAcentral lists this long non-coding RNA (281 nucleotides) under Bos taurus (domestic cattle). Its description in RNAcentral is "long non-coding RNA NONBTAT019695". The record is from RNAcentral. Lineage: Eukaryota; Metazoa; Chordata; Mammalia; Artiodactyla; Bovidae.
GAACUUGUUCUUAACUCUCUACUCCACAUGUACAUAGCGGGGAACCCUAGAGGGACAGAAGGGUUCCCUGUCCCUCCAAUCCUCAUGGAGCUUAACAACAAUCAUUUCCCAGAGGUUUCUUGUCCUAGAACCUAUUAAGUUAAUGGCUGUGGAGUAGACUGAAGUUGAGUUGGCUUGUGAUAACUCUGUGCCCUUGACUUUAGAACAUAUUCUUUACAGAAGUAUGCUCAGUUACUCGGGCCUGUGGAGCUACAUUUGUAGUUACCAUUGACCAGAGGAGC